UACGUAGGGUGCAAGCGUUAAUCGGAAUUACUGGGCGUAAAGCGUGCGCAGGCGGUUUGUCGCGUCGGCUGUGAAAGCCCGGAGCUCAACUCCGGGUCUGCAGUCGAUACGGGCAGACUUGAGUGUUGCAGGGGAGACUGGAAUUCCUGGUGUAGCGGUGAAAUGCGCAGAUAUCAGGAGGAACACCGGUGGCGAAGGCGGGUCUCUGGGCAACAACUGACGCUGGAGGAGCGAAAGCGUGGGGAGCGAACAGG
Molecule: ribosomal RNA, 254 nt
Filed under: uncultured bacterium
Lineage: Bacteria
Description: partial 16S ribosomal RNA
Rfam family: Bacterial small subunit ribosomal RNA
Source: RNAcentral